CCAACAGGGAUUGCCUCAGUAACGGCGAGUGAAGCGGCAACAGCUCAAAUUUGAAAUCUGGCUCUUUCAGGGUCCGAGUUGUAAUUUGUAGAGGAUGCUUCGGCGUGGGCUCCGGUUUAAGUUCCUUGGAACAGGACGUCAUAGAGGGUGAGAAUCCCGUAUGUGAUCGGUUGCCUUUGCCAUUGUGAAGCUCCUUCGACGAGUCGAGUUGUUUGGGAAUGCAGCGUCUAAAUGGGAGGUAAAUUUCUUCUAAAGCUAAAUACUGGCCAGAGACCGAUAGCGCACAAGUAGAGUGAUCGAAAGAUGAAAAGCACUUUGGAAAGAGAGUCAAAAAGUACGUGAAAUUGUUGAAAGGGAAGCGCUU
Molecule: ribosomal RNA, 364 nt
Filed under: uncultured fungus
Lineage: Eukaryota; Fungi
Description: LSU rRNA
Rfam family: Eukaryotic large subunit ribosomal RNA
Source: RNAcentral